This is a long non-coding RNA of Corythoichthys intestinalis (scribbled pipefish), 1841 nucleotides long. RefSeq lists it as uncharacterized. The record is from RefSeq and is a predicted model, not a curated record. Lineage: Eukaryota; Metazoa; Chordata; Actinopteri; Syngnathiformes; Syngnathidae. The transcript has 5 exons.
UUGUCAACUAAACUAAUUUUCUGUUUUUAAAUGUUUUUUAAUGUAAAACUAGCAUUAAUGUCACUGUAAUCAUAAACCUUUUGAAUAUCAAUGAGCAAAUAAGACUCACACGCAUAUAUAUUUUAUCAUCUGUGGAAAGAAAAAUCAGUAAUAAAAAUUGGCCCGUUUUCUGUUUCGAUGCCAAAUCUACAUGCGCUUUGUCACUAUGGAUUGUACUGCCCUCCAGUGGCCAAAUUAUGUCAACAACUGCCUAAAGCCUAUUGAAUUUUUUAGAUUCACGUUGAGUUGUAGGCAAAAUUCCACCCAAAAAGUUGGCAUUGCAGUAAUUUGACAUGAUUUUUUAAUUAUUUUUAACUCCGACCCAAAAGUACAUUCCCCAUUGUGUCCCUCUGAGAAUAAAUUAUGACCCAUAAAAUCAAUACCUAAUGGUUCCCAUUGACUCUCGCACUACAAAAAUAAAAAUUUACAUUAGCGGUCAUUGUUUUUGAUUAAAUUUUUAAAAACAUUUUUCUUAUGUAAAAAGUGUUUGUUUUUAUUAAAAGUUAACAAAAGAAACUUUUGAUUUCGGGUUAACGUUUGGAUCCUUGUUAGGGUUUAGGGCAGGAGUCUGCAAGUCCGGCCCUCUCGAGCCGCAAUCCAGCUUAUUUUCCAUGUCUCCCUCCUUCAUCACACCUGAAUCAAAUAAUCAGGAUCGUUACCAGCAGUGCCAUAUAUUUAGAGAGUCACGACACUCCCAUAGAGAUCCAUUAUACGAUUUUACUUCCGGGUACUUCCGGGUUAUGGAGCCUUGGAUAGUUACAAACAUCGCAUUUGACAUGGCGGACACCAUUCAUUUGAACGGCAGGCCGUCAAGUAUAUUCGGAGAGGCCCUUUGUGACAUACACUUAUCUCUCAUGGCAUGAGGGAAGGUUGCAGUGCAAACUCAUAGCCUUUCUUUCCAGCUGCUCCACAACAUUGGAGGAUUCCAUGAGGGAAUCAUUCGUUGCCAAACGGAACAGAUGCUCGACAUCCUUUAAGAGAGUGAAGACCUCAUCCGAUGGCCGGUGCUUCAACCAAUGCACACUGGCAUUGGUUGCAGAGUGAGAAGCUGAUGACCCUCUUCACUAUGCAUCCUGCCAGAUGUUGCCAUUUUGCCUGACAGCGUGGUCCCUGGUGCAUCUGGGCCUAGUGUUGUGGCGCCACCGCUGGUUCCUGAUUGGUCGGCACCCGGCUCAUCCACCCCUGGAUCACCUGGCCUGGAUACGUCAUUGUCAUUGUGCUCACUUUCGCCCAACCUUCCCACCUCAAUUUCUCCCUGAAUGUCUGUAACAAUAACAAGGCAUUCUUAAUUUUAUAUGCAGUCAGUGUUUUUACAUUUGCACCUAUUGUCAUCUCCAAAGUAAAGGUACACUACACUCCUAAAGGGAAAAAAUAAAUAAAAUAACGGACAUUACUGUUACAUGAAUCAAAUCAUCUGCCACAAUCAGAAACUGCUAUGGCAUUGCCAUGUGUCAACAGUUUGGUGAUAUCAUGGAGCUGGUUCUGCUUUGCUGUUGUAUCCACCAGAAAUGUUUAGUUAUAGGUGAAAAUUAAAUGCAUAAAUAAAGCUAAAUUAUGAAGUAACUAACAAUGAAGUAGAUCGAAAUUUUGUGUGUAAAUCCCAGGACAAUUCCUGACCUCUUGUAUUUGAAGCUGAAUGUAUUAAUAUGAAAAAUGUAAUUAUAUUAUUAGGAGUGUAGUUUAUCCUUGAAUUACUUGGCAUGGGCAAUGUUGUUGACAGCUGGUCUGUAUCAUACCCAAGUUUAACCCCAAGUUUCCUCCUCUUUGGCUUCGAACGAUGAAUGAAAAUGGUUGGGACAGCA